This 1368-nucleotide ribosomal RNA is filed under the name Triticum aestivum (bread wheat). RNAcentral describes it as "partial small subunit ribosomal RNA". Lineage: Eukaryota; Viridiplantae; Streptophyta; Magnoliopsida; Poales; Poaceae. The record is from RNAcentral.
UUUUGGGUUUUCUUCUCCGUUUGUUCGGGUUUGGGAAAGUUGCUCGGGGGUUGGGGUUCGUCGGCGACGGCGCGGCGUUAGCAGGUACCGCCGAGUCGGCGGCAGAAGGCCACGCGGCCGCCGUCGGCCUCUGUGGUUCGCGUGGGGCUUCGCCUUCGGGUUCUGUUUUGGUCGACGGGGGAGGCGGGAUUUGGGAUUGACCCGGGUCGAGGUCAGGUUCGAGGGACGUAGGUGCAAGGAGCCGUUCGCGUUCGUGGCGGGGCGGGGAAGAGGCGGGGGACUCGGCAGAGGAUGGGGCCUCCGCCGCCUCGACUCAAAGUUCGAACUCGGCUGGAGACUGCUGUGGUCGAACUGCUUCCGCAACCGCGACCUAACGCUCUACCAGCCCCAACCCCGGCCACCGUCGUUCUCGCGGGAGCGGUCCCGGUGGAACCAAUUAAGGAAACCGUUGCAACAUAUACUACUUAUACACGCUGGUUACCUCGCUUAACACCUGAUGGCAUGGGUAUAAUCACCCUAAUCUGGAUUCGUGUACUUAUUUCGGUUUCUAAAGAGCUAGCAAGUCUUCCUAUAUCGACUCGAAUAGUGUCCUUCCCAAGAACAACCUGUACGGAAUGUGGUACUAGAAUUCCAGGACGAUGAUCCAGUGGGUUUUUUCCUGUAUUCUCUGUGGAGUCUUAUACUCCAAAAGGCUGCCCUCCCGUUCGCCUCUAGCAACUUUCUAGAACGACGAGUUCUUGAAAGACAAUUCUAUGUUGUCGUUCUCGUGACGGGCUAACUCCUACGAGCGCGUCGUUACAAGUAAAUGUUCUUCGUGUUCUUUUCAACCCUCUUCUUGUUCUUUCUCGUUAAGUCCAAGUUCUUGUUCGUCUUCUUCGCUCCGUUAUUCUUUAGACGACUUCGGUUACUCUUCCUGGGGUUACAGGGUUAUCAAGAUGACAUCCUUUGUAUCUACAUUCCCCCCGGUCCCGGUUCGUCACAGCACGAAUUGUACCUAAAGUGCUGCGGUUUCCCAUACGGCACACCCUUAAAGUCUACCUUGGACAGUUCUUGAGUUCUAGUCGUGCGGUUGGACCCUUAAAGAGGUCUACUUGGUACUUGAAGCCAUGGUACGACCUGCCCAUCUACCGCUACGGCACUAAUAUAGACAACUAAGACUAAAAAGAUCCGGCGUAUACAAAGUCCCUAACUAACGUUUAACACACCGACUAAUAAGGAGUGUAGUGUACACUGCUUUGAAGUGUGUACGCACGUCCAAGACAUUGUUCUAUAAAUGUACUGGUCGACUUUUUACCGCGUCGGCUAUUAUAAACCAACAACCAUUAACGUAAAACUCAUGAAAAAAAAACUGUUUGAUCUCAUCUACCG